Molecule: ribosomal RNA, 254 nt
Filed under: uncultured bacterium
Lineage: Bacteria
Description: partial 16S ribosomal RNA
Rfam family: Bacterial small subunit ribosomal RNA
Source: RNAcentral
UACGUAGGGGGCAAGCGUUGUCCGGAUUUAUUGGGCGUAAAGAGCUCGUAGGCGGCUUGGCAAGUCGGGUGUGAAAACUCCAGGCUCAACCUGGAGCGGCCAUCCGAUACUGCUAUGGCUAGAGUCCGGUAGGGGACCACGGAAUUCCUGGUGUAGCGGUGAAAUGCGCAGAUAUCAGGAGGAACACCGGUGGCGAAGGCGGUGGUCUGGGCCGGAACUGACGCUGAAUAGCGAAAGCGUGGGUAGCGAACAGG